RNAcentral lists this ribosomal RNA (492 nucleotides) under uncultured bacterium. RNAcentral describes it as "partial 16S ribosomal RNA". It matches the Rfam family "Bacterial small subunit ribosomal RNA", at positions 29 to 507 of the family's 1533-position model. The record is from RNAcentral.
AGUGAACGCUGGCGGUAGGCCUAACACAUGCGAGUCGAACGGCAGCACAGUAAGAGCUUGCUCUUACGGGUGGCGAGUGGCGGACGGGUGAGGAAUACAUCGGAAUCUACUUUUUCGUGGGGGAUAACGUAGGGAAACUUACGCUAAUACCGCAUACGACCUACGGGUGAAAGCAGGGGAUCUUCGGACCUUGCGCGAUUGAAUGAGCCGAUGUCGGAUUAGCUAGUUGGCGGGGUAAAGGCCCACCAAGGCGACGAUCCGUAGCUGGUCUGAGAGGAUGGUCAGCCACACUGGAACUGAGACACGGUCCAGACUCCUACGGGAGGCAGCAGUGGGGAAUAUUGGACAAUGGGCGCAAGCCUGAUCCAGCCAUACCGCGUGGGUGAAGAAGGCCUUCGGGUUGUAAAGCCCUUUUGUUGGGAAAGAAAAGCAGCAGGUUAAUACCCCGCUGUUCUGACGGUACCCAAAGAAUAAGCACCGGCUAACUUCGUG